UUUGCUCCCGCAGGACCUCCAAGGACACGUGCUUGGCGAAACAGGAGCUAGCGGCCAGCAGCAUUUCUCUGCUGCUGGCUGUGGCGCGGAGAUUUCCCCCAACUCAGAAUGACAGUAAUUCAGCCACACCUGACAUGCUUCCAGCGGAGACCCAAAGAAGAUGGCAUCAUCAUUGAAGACUUGUAGUCAGUGCAGACCUCAGGCUCCGCUGGACACCAGAGAGAGGCCACUGGGUGACAGAAUGAUGCCGGCAAGACCUCCUGAUCUGCCUUUCCAUGGGGGCAAUGUUGAUAUUUUCACUCCCUCCCAUUGCGAGAAUCUCCUGAAAUGAUGUUUUCAGAAAGGAGGGGGCAGAAACUGCUCUUUGCUUCUUCCGCUCCUGCCUGACUCUGGGUGCUGUCUGAGUUUUAUCUAUGUGGUGAUUAGAUGGCUGAGUGAGAGCUGGGCUGGAUGGACUAAGGGCCUGAUUCUGCAUAAGGCAGCUUCCAGUGUUCCUAUGGGUAACUUUAGCUCGUACCUGUCAAGCGAGCCCAAGUAGUUCUGUGUCCUGAUUUUCACUGUAGCAAAUUACUGCUUUUUAGCUGGCAAAGAAGUACUUUUGACAACCGAUACUCCUGCGAAAGAGCUAGUUGUAUCACCGGUAUUUUAGCCGUUAAACCACAGAGCAUAUCCCCGGCCCCGUUAAUGUGCAAAUGUGGAGCGGCUGGGCAGGAUCUUUGAGGGGCGGAUGUUUCCGAAAAGUCAAAACAAUGGCCGUCUUU
Non-coding RNA from Podarcis muralis (Common wall lizard), 761 nucleotides. NCBI's taxonomy places the organism in Eukaryota, Metazoa, Chordata, Lepidosauria, Squamata, Lacertidae. The record is from RefSeq and is a predicted model, not a curated record.